UCCGUAGGCGGAUCUGUAAGUCAGUGGUGAAAUCUCAUAGCUUAACUAUGAAACUGCCAUUGAUACUGCAGGUCUUGAGUAAAGUAGAAGUGGCUGGAAUAAGUAGUGUAGCGGUGAAAUGCAUGGAUAUUACUUAGAACACCAAUUGCGAAGGCAGGUCACUAUGUUUUAACUGACGCUGAUGGACGAAGGCGUGGGGAGCGAACAGGAUUAGAUACCCUGGUAGUCCACGCCGUAAACGAUGCUAACUCGUUUUUGGGUCUUUAAGAUUCAGAGACUAAGCGAAAGUGAUAAGUUAGCCACCUGGGGAGUACGUUCGCAAGAAUGAA
Molecule: ribosomal RNA, 329 nt
Filed under: uncultured bacterium
Lineage: Bacteria
Description: bacterial SSU rRNA
Rfam family: Bacterial small subunit ribosomal RNA
Source: RNAcentral